This 7816-nucleotide long non-coding RNA is filed under the name Homo sapiens (human). RNAcentral's name for it is "HSALNT0352715". The record is from RNAcentral. Lineage: Eukaryota; Metazoa; Chordata; Mammalia; Primates; Hominidae.
CUAUCUUCCUGCUUUGGCCUCCCAAAGUGCUAAGAUUACAGGUGUGAGCCACUGUGCCAGCCUGUUUAACUCUUAAGGGGAGGUGACUAAUGGGAGAAGGAGUGGUGGUGGUGGUGGGGUGUGAGAUAGUAUGAUACUGCGAAAGUCACAGGUGAAAUUUCUCUGGAAAUUUCUGUUGGAAGAUGGGGUUUGAUCAUACCUACCAGUUUGCCUGGACAUUCUGAUUCAUUCCAGGUGUUCUGGCAUAAUUAUUAAUACUGCCAACUUUCAUGCCGAAGAAAGUGCCAGUUUGGAGGUAAAUUAUCUGGUAACCAUUCCGCAGGGUUGUGAAAAUUAAUGAUAAAACUUGUAUAAACAUGCUCUGUGAAUUAUAAAGCACUGUACAAAUAAAAGGAAUUAAGGGACUUAAGUUCUUUUAUUGAAUUCUCCUGUUAGAGACAAACAAAUAUGUCUAAAAUUGUUAUCUACUUUGGUCUGUUAUUGGACUGAGAUCUGUUUGGAUUUCCAUGAAAAUAAACCUGCAAGAAAAUUAAUUUUAUUUUAAGGUAGCUUAGCAUGUGCUUAACCACUUUCUAGAUUCAAUUCCUUUCAGUGGUCUGUUCUGGAUUCUCACAUGUAUGCUAGAGGUUUUCUGCUGUUUUUGUUUUUUUCAAAUUUAUGAGUCCUUUCAAAUCUGGCAUUUUACAGUUUUGAUGGAUUUUGAAUAUGGGGGAUAUCCUAAUGCCCUAGGAAUUUUUAAAACCCGUUUCAGAAGGGAAAGAGUAUAAAACGAUUAUGUGUUAAGUAUUUACCAUAAAGAAGGCAGAGUAGAGUGUCCGCCCUUAAAGAGCUAGCAAUAACCAUGUCAUGUGUCCCUUAUAUCAAACCAUAUGGGAGAGGUUUAAUUGAUUUCCCUUUUCACAUGGAAGGGAAUUGAGGCACACAGAGGUUAGAUAACUUUGUUUACUGGCUACAGCCAGUAAAGAAUUAGGAUUUAAGGACAUCUAAUCUGAGCCAAAACCUGUUGAUCAUCCAUUCAGAAGUUACAAAUAUAUAUUGAAUUCCGACUCUAUGCCAGGCACUGUGUAUAUGAGUACACUGUGGUAAGUAAAACAGGUGUGGUCCUUAUUUCUAGUUUGGUGUCAUCAUUAUCAAUCAGGCCAUCAUCUAUUAAAUAGAUAUCCCAGAUGUUUUGUUAAGUGCUUUGCUUGCAUUAUCAAUUAAAAUUGUUACAACUGUGUAUUAUUAUUAUUAUUUCUAUCUUAUAGAUGGGGAGACUGUGGCUCAAUGAGGUCAAACAAUUUGCAGUCAGGGAGUAGGGAUGCUUUGAAUAUGGCCAUCAUCUCACUGGCUCACUGUGGGGGAGUGAUGCCAGGAGGACUUCUGUUCCACCAUCUUGCUGAUGUUACUCUCCCUCACUAAAACAUUGUGUGUGCAACUAGGGUCAUCUGGGCAGCUGAAAAAAAAAGUCAAAGAAAAACUAAGGCCUUCCUUUCCUAUCACCCAUCAAUGUUGGCAGAGAUGGAAAAAACAGGCACCGUUUAGGUGCUGGGAAUGGAGCAGUGAACCACACUGACAACAACUCCCUGCCUUCAUAGAACCUGCCUUCUAGAAAGGGAAGACAGAGCAAAAAAAAAAUAAACUGGAUCAAAGCUAUACUCAACUUCAAGAUGACUGUUCACUGAGAAAUGUGAAAUUAAUAUGAAAUAUGAAAGAAAACUCUUACUAUGUAAAUGAAUCACAGAAUCCAAGAAAGAUGUGCCGGAUGGGAACUAGAGGUCAUCUAGAUUGCAUUCUGUCUAAUCAGAUCAUAUGAAGGUAAGAUUUCUGGGCUGAAGAGUUAAAAGUGUAUCCUUCUCACAUUAGAAGAGAGAAAUGGAAAGAAUCCAAGCUUUUUAUUCAAACAAGGCUGGAUUUAAAUUUUGAUGCUGCUUCUUAACUUUCUGUGUCCUUUGGGCAAAUUAUUUAACCUCUCUAAGAUUUAGAAAAGAAAGAUGGCAAUAGUGCCUACUUCUUAAAAUGGUUUUUAGAUUUAAAUGAGAAUGGGGAAGAUAGAUACGUAGGUAGGUAGAUAGAUGUAGAUACAUACGUACACAUAUUGCCGAAUACCUAAUAUGCAGCUUUUUAGCAUUAUUAUUAUCAAAGCCUCUUUUAUUCCUCAGUGGCCAUUGGCUAGAAAUAUUUUGAUAUCAUUUCUUUUGGGUUUAAAAGAGAAGGAAGAUAACCACUGAAAUCUCUUUGUCCUUUUUUAAAAAAAAGCAUGGUAAGCACAUUUAACAUGAGAUCUACCCUUUCAACAGACUUUUAACUGUGAAAUACAGUAUUUUUAACUACAGGACAAAUGUGCAAUGGAUCUCUAUAACUUACUUAUUUUGUGUAAGUUCCUGUUAACUAGCAACUCACCAUUUCCCCCUCUCUGCAGCCCCUGGCAACCACCACUGUGCUGUCUGCUUCUACAGGUUUGACUAUUUCAGAUUCCCCAGAGUCGUGUGUCUUCCAAUACUGAUAGAAUAGUAUUGAAGACCAUGGUAUAUUUUUUUAUGGACAAGAGUAUUGUGAUAUCAUCUCUUGCUGUCUAUUCUCCUUCAGCUUCUUCCCUUAGUUUUUCUUUUCCUAUAGCGCAGAAUCUCUUCUGUGUCCUUUCUCCAGUCUCAUUUUCUGUUGAAUGGCCUCUAUUCAGGAUUUGUUUCCGUAACACUACUGAAACCGUACUUCUCAGGGUCAUCAGUGAACUCCAUCUUGCUAAAUCUGGUGGCAAAUUUUUAUUCCUUUUAGUAUGUGAUAUAUUAGCACAAGAUGGUUUCCUUCUCCUGGAAGUUCUUUUUUCACUUAGCUUCUAGGACAUCACAUCUUUCUGGUCUUCUUUCCAUCUCACUGGCUGCUUCUUUUCAGGUCUCCUUUGUGGGGCCCUCCUUCUCUCUCCCAUCUAUAAAUGUCACAGUGCUUGGGUUUCAGCUCUUGUUCCUUGCUCCACCCACAUUCCCUCCUCAGUAAGCGCAUUAUCUUCCAUGGUGGGAAUACAGUCUAUAUGCUAAUUGGUCUCAAAUUCGUAUCUCCUACUCCGAUUUCUCCCUGAAGUUCAGGUCAUAAAUCCAACCGCCUCCUUUAUUACUAUCUGGAUGUCCAGUAGGCAUCUAAAAAUUAUCAUGUCCAAAACAAAACUCUUGUUUCCACUUCCUCAAAAAUCCACCCCUUCCCCAUGCUUCCCUGGUUUAUUAGAAGGCAACUCCAUUUUCCCCAAUCACCCUUGAAAUAAUCCAGAACUCUUCUCUUUACCUCAUACCCAUCAUCUACAGCAAGUCCUGUUGCCUCCACCUUCAAACUUGAUUUCCAGUCCAACCACUUCUCACCAUCUCUUAGCUCAGCCCACAGCACCUACACUGGACUGGAGUGUAAUGCCUGCAUUACUUUGUAGUCUCCUAAAUGAUCUCCUAGUUUAUAUAUUUGGCAGGUGCCAGAAUGAUCCUUUAAAACUCUAAAUUAGAUCAUAUUAUUACUCUGCUCAAAACCAUCUAAUGGCUUCUCAUCCCACUCAGAAUAAAACCUAAACUAUUUAUCAUGUUCUGCUUCUCCAGCAUCAUCUCCUAUCACUGCCGGCCUUACUUGCUUUUCUCCAGGCACACCAGCCUUCUUGCUGUGUCUCAGACACGACAGGCAUGUUCCUGCCUCAGAGCCUUUGCACCCACUCCUCCGUCUCCCUGGAAUAUUUUGCCGUCAGAUCUUUGCUUGGCAGCUGGCUCCCUCACUUAGUACUAGGUUCUCAUCUUUAAGUAUCACAUCUUCAGGGAGGGCUUCUCCAAUCCCCCUUUUUAUACUCUCACUCACUCUGAGCUAGGUGCUGUUCUAGGUGUUGGGGGAACAGCAGUGAAUAGAGAGCUCCUCCUCUCUGAGGUUUACCCCACCUCGUCCUAUCCCAUCCCAUCUCAUUGCUCUGCACCUAUUAAGUUCUUCUUUUAAUUUUUUUUCUCAUUGUACAUAUUAUUGCCUGGUACCUUUCCAUAUAUUUAUUUUCUUCUUUAUUUACAAUCUCUUCUCUGUUAGAAUGUAGGCUGAAUGAGGACAGGUACUGUUGUAUCCCUAGCCCCUAGAAUAGUGCUUGGCAGGUGGCAGGCACUCUAUAAGUGUUUCUGGAAUGAAUGAUUGUAGAAGUAGUUUGAUAAAUAGAAGUCUAUUGCAGGCAAUAGGCAGAGACUUCAUCUUGCCAUAUGUGACUUAGAAGGGAUGUGAGUAGAAUAUGAAUGAAUGUUUCAAGCUGAAGCCUACUUCAUGGAUGUCACUAGCAGUUCCUGAGUACAUCCUAGAUGUCCAUUCAGUGUUCUAUACUUUAUAGCUUUGAAUGAUGAUUUGGCUUUCAAAAGAUAUACAUGUCCAUCUUGAAUUUUUCGCAGUGAGUUUCGGUUGCAUAUGCCCCGGUUUAUUUGUGUAUGAUAUGUGCUGUGCCUGGCAUCUGCUCUGCUUUCUGGCCCUCUGUGUGCCUGUGCCCAGAGGACAUCUGAGAGUUAGUUGGCAUAUUAUAAGGUAGUAUCAGAAAACCUUUGCUCUGAGCCCUCUGACUGAUCCUAUUGGGGUUGAGAAACCUAUCAAGUACUGCUAAGCUGGCAGAAUGACAAAAUCAACUCACACAAGGAAAUAAAUCAGGCGCGGUGGGCAUGGAGAGCCUUGAGGACCAAUGGCAGAGGAAGACAGAGAUUAUGGCUCAUGGAUGGUAGAUGAUUGAGGACUGGAUAGAAACUGGGUUGUCCAGAAACACUAUGUCUUAGCCAGAGCUGGAACAUUGGCAUUUGAAGCUGAAGACUAGUCCUGGCACUUUCAAGCUCUAUCUGUGUUAGGAUUGGGGUCCUCUCCUCCAGUCACUUUUCUUUUUGUCCAUAAUGGAAGUUGCAAGUUGACACUUAUAAGCCCAGAGUUUUGAGAUGCUGGUGGGUGUGUUUUCUGGGCAGAGUACCUUUCCCCCAGUGCUCUCAGCCAGUCCAGAGGCAUCUCUCUGAUGAUGCAGGGUUGGGUAUGAUGUGCCUACACCUGCAAUGAGGCACCGGAAAUAUAGGCAUUAAGAGAGGAGAUUUCCAUGAGAGUCAUAGAAAAGAAACUUGCCAUUCAAAGUGGCUUUUUGACUUCACUGUUUCCAGGAAGUGCUAUCUCUGACAGGAAUUAUUUCCUUGCUUUCUGCCAGUGAUCGUGCAUGUUUUUGGCAAUGUGAAAUGUGGGUGCUUGGAGGAGAAAUGCACAAAUAAAAGGAGAGGAAGGGAGAUAAAGUAAAGGCAUCAUUGUUGUUCAGUUCUUCAGAAAGAUUAUCCAUCCUCUCUAACAGUGUCUUUUUUUCCUUAGUGUCACAGAGUGAAAAGAGCAAAAACUUUGGAAUUAGACACAUUUGUGCUUAAAUCCUGGAUAUUUCAGUUAUGGUGUUGGCUUAGGCAAAAAAUCUUAAUUUCUCAAAUCUUAGGUUAUUAAUCUGUAAAACUGGAUAAAUAAUAUCUAUGAUAUAGGGUUGUUUUGAGUCUUAAGUGAAAUAGGUGCAAAGUACAAAGCAUAGGGCCCGAAAGAUUCCUCUAUAAAUAGUAACUUUAAAAAGGGGAGUCAGGAGAGAAAAUACCGCAUCAGAUAUGAACGACCUGGGCUUCACUUAUUAAUUUAUUGAGCAAAUUGUUAAACUGAGCAUCUUCUUUGAAUCUAGAAACGGGUGAUAUGAUGGGCAAGAUAGAUAUGCCUCCUUAGAGGCAAAAGGUGCAGACAGGUAAAAACACAUGCAAAUGUAAAAAUAUAAGAGAAGUGCUAAGCAUGAUAAGUGUCACUAUGAAAGGAAGAGAAGAAGGAAAGGGGAAACUGCUUUAUAUAGAGUGAUCAGGGAAGGCUUCCUGGAGGAGGUGAUGUACAAGCUGAGAAAGAAGAAUAUGAAGGAGCCAGACAUGUGAAGGCUGGAGGGAAGGGUUCCAGGUAGAAGAAAGGAUGUUAGCAAAUGUUUGAGGCCAAACAAAACUUGGUGUGUUUGAGGUACUGAAUACCAGAGUGGCUGAGAUGAGAGACCAGUGCCAGAACACGAGAGACACAUAGGAUGAAAGGACUGGCAGUUAUUCCUGGGGAAAGUCUCUCUUGAGAACCUGUCACAAGAACAUGCCAUGUUGUAAGAAGGUUUCUCCCUUUGGUUAUUAGUCUUCCCCCAACAGUCUUGGAAGUAAAAUGAAGCUAUUUUGUUGUAAUGCAAUAGUUUGCCUAUAUUGGAAUCAUUAGCAUUCGAUCAUAUCUUAGUGUUGCUCUGUGAGAGGAUGGUGCAUUAUGGUGAAUUAUCUGCUGUUCUCCACAGGAGCCAAAGCUGUCUUCCUGUUAGCUCCAGAGUAAAAGUAGCCUGCAGCCCACACCCUGGGGUCUGAUGAAAGGACUCACACUCCAGUCUGCAUUCCUGCUGCACCUGCCAGACCCUGCUGACAAAAUUUCUGUUUCUCCAUUGACCAAAUAAAACUGCAGUGUGGCCCCUUGGAGGGUUCCAGGAAAACUGAAGCUCCACUUCUCGUUUUUUAAGUUAGCCUGCUGCCACCUGGAGCUGAAAGCUGUAAUCCCCACUCACCCUGGUGGGGACCUGACCUCUCUCCCACUGGAACCAGGUUGGUGGGAAGUAGCAAGAGAACUUGAUUUCACUCCUAUUUAGAGAGUCUAUGUUCUCUGCUUCUGGUCUCACCUUCAAAAUUAGGGCAGUGGUCUUUGAUAGGAUGAUAACAGCAAGACAGGAGAGGUAGGCAUCGGCCAAACCAUGCCACUGAAUGACAUAACAGCUGAAUGACCUCUAGCAAAUUAUUUAUCUUCUCCAGACACUUUUUUUUGUCCCUAAAAAUAGGAACAACAUUAUCUAUCUCUUAGUGUUGUGGGGGAAGAUAUGAGUACAAAAAGCAAUUGGCAUGCUAGGUGUUAAUUUAUUCUUUCUUCCCUUUUUCUCUUCCCUUCCCUUCUCUGGUCAGUGAGUGCUUCUCCCUCUUUUCUGUCUCUUAUUAUUGAAUAUCUCAUCUUUCGUAUGUGAUGUGGUGGUGAAUCCCAGGUGGGCAUUCUCACCACUUGUUAUAUCAUGGCCAAGUGCUUGGAGAAAGAUGUGAUCACAAUAUUGAAAAUUAAGUCAUUUAGAGUCAAUUUCACUUAAUUAUGCUCUCUCUCUCUGCCCCAACAUCCACCAGGCCUGCUCUCAAUGUGCAAUGUUGCUUCAUUUGGUAGUAUCCUUGGAAAAUGAGGGGUUUCAUAUAAAUGAGUUUUUAGAGCUUUUUCAAGAAAAAUUAAGCCCAUCUUUUUGUGGCAAAUUGUAGCAGGCCUUCUCUUAGGCCCAAAGGCACAGUAGCAAAUACAAUGUGUAAGUGGUAAUGGUGCUGAUGCAAGAAUUUUCUUAGAUCAGAAAGUCCCACCUGGGGAGAUUUUAACAUCUUUCACACUCAGGCCAUACCUCGGGCCAAUUACAUCAGAAUCUCUAGGGGUGGGAUCCAGGCAUCAGUAUUUUUUAAAGCUUCCAGGUGAUUCGAAUGUGCAACCAAAGAUGCGGAACCACUGCUAUUCAGUUUCUUAACGCUCGAAACCUCUGAAUGUGUCUAUGUUUCUAUGAAUUAAAAAAGAACACUAUAAUCAUGUGUUUGCUGCAGGGCAACAUUAUGGCCCACAGGGAUGGGGGUGAAUGAAGCCUCAGUCAGAAGCAGACACAUCUUUAUGGAAAUGACCAUGAGAGGCCAGCUCUGGCAAGGCAUGAGUAUUGGCCACCACAGCUGAUAGCCAUGUGCCCAUAACAAACAGUGGAAUUGUGCCAGUUUUCAAAGGGAAUUCUUACAACCAUUGUGGAAGACAGUGUGGUGAUUCCUCAAGGAUCUAGAAC